GGGGGCAACCCUGGUGGCGAGUGGCGAACGGGUGAGUAAUACAUCGGAACGUGCCCAGUCGUGGGGGAUAACUACGCGAAAGCGUGGCUAAUACCGCAUACGAUCCAAGGAUGAAAGCGGGGGAUCGCAAGACCUCGCGCGAUUGGAGCGGCCGAUGGCAGAUUAGGUAGUUGGUAGGGUAAAGGCUUACCAAGCCUACGAUCUGUAGCUGGUCUGAGAGGACGACCAGCCACACUGGAACUGAGACACGGUCCAGACUCC
Molecule: ribosomal RNA, 261 nt
Filed under: uncultured bacterium
Lineage: Bacteria
Description: partial 16S ribosomal RNA
Rfam family: Bacterial small subunit ribosomal RNA
Source: RNAcentral